AACGAACGCUGGCGGCAGGCUUAACACAUGCAAGUCGAGCGCCCCGCAAGGGGAGCGGCAGACGGGUGAGUAACGCGUGGGAAUCUACCCAUCUCUGCGGAACAACUCCGGGAAACUGGAGCUAAUACCGCAUACGCCCUUCGGGGGAAAGAUUUAUCGGGGAUGGAUGAGCCCGCGUUGGAUUAGCUAGUUGGUGGGGUAAAGGCCUACCAAGGCGACGAUCCAUAGCUGGUCUGAGAGGAUGAUCAGCCACAUUGGGACUGAGACACGGCCCAAACUCCUACGGGAGGCAGCGGUGGGGAAUAUUGGACAAUGGGCGCAAGCCUGAUCCAGCCAUGCCGCGUGAGUGAUGAGGGCCUUAGGGUUGUAAAGCUCUUUCACCGAUGAAGAUAAUGACAGUAGUCGGAGAAGAAGCCCCGGCUAACUUCGUGCCAGCCGCCGCAGUAA
Molecule: ribosomal RNA, 447 nt
Filed under: uncultured bacterium
Lineage: Bacteria
Description: partial 16S ribosomal RNA
Rfam family: Bacterial small subunit ribosomal RNA
Source: RNAcentral